Long non-coding RNA from Prosopis cineraria, 933 nucleotides. RefSeq lists it as uncharacterized. The transcript is spliced from 3 exons. The record is from RefSeq and is a predicted model, not a curated record. NCBI's taxonomy places the organism in Eukaryota, Viridiplantae, Streptophyta, Magnoliopsida, Fabales, Fabaceae.
UGAAUUCACCUGCCCUCUCUCAUUUCCCUUAGGUCUCUCUCACACCCCCAGCUUCCUUCAUUGUCCUUUCUCAUUUCAUCUUAGCUGUCUCUCUCUCCCGCCACUCCCUUCAACUUCCUCGCUCCCUUUAGCUCCGCUCUCCCCUCAGUUACCUCAAUCCCGUUACCAGCUGUCUUCUCUCAUGUGCCCACAGCUCGCCUUACUGUCAAUAUCUCACAAUUCGUCGCUCCGGUAGCUCACCGUGCCCGUAGCUCUCGCUUCCUUGAACUUGCCGCCCCCAGUUCAUUUGCCGCUGGCCCACCUCCUGCACCGCUCGCCUCAAUUGGAUGUUAUACUAAGAGGAAAAAAGGCAAAUGGUUCCAAUACCUAAUAGUGGAAUUUGCUUUUGCUUUCCAUUGUUCACCUUAAGUGGGAAUUUGAAGUUUGUGGUGGAAAUCAGACCUACUCCCACUAUUGAGAGAUAGAGCCACACAAUGGAGUCUGGAGGUAGAAGGGAAGAGCAACACUACACAAGCCUAGCAAGGUAGAGCCAAUGGAAAGAAGAUUGAAGGAGUAGGUCGUUCAACCGGGAAGAAGAUUGAAGGAGGAGGUGAGGUGAGGGACAAGGAGCGCACACUUAUGAAAAAAAGAAUGAAAAGCGUGCCAUCAUGAAUUCUUUAAUUUAGGUAGAGCCGGUAAUUCGGGCAGGCCGGGCUUAUUCGGGCCGGGUUUAAAAAGCUCAUAUAGCCAAGCCCGGCCCUAACACCUUCGGGCUUCGGGCUUAUUCGGGCUGGCCCGAAUACCCGAAACUUUUUAAAAAUAUUUUUUCUGUAUUUUUUGAACCAAUUUUAAUUUUUAAAUAAUUCUAUUAAUUGUAAAAUAUUAUCUUAAUUUUAAAAGAAUAAAAUAAAAAAUAAUUUAUCAACUUUGUAUUUAAGUAGCUCUGUUAUUAUU